RNAcentral lists this ribosomal RNA (405 nucleotides) under uncultured bacterium. RNAcentral's name for it is "bacterial SSU rRNA". It matches the Rfam family "Bacterial small subunit ribosomal RNA", at positions 355 to 772 of the family's 1533-position model. The record is from RNAcentral.
UGGGGAAUAUUGCACAAUGGGCGGAAGCCUGAUGCAGCGACGCCGCGUGAGGGAUGACGGCCUUCGGGUUGUAAACCUCUUUCAGCAGGGACGAAGCGAGAGUGACGGUACCUGCAGAAGAAGCACCGGCCAACUACGUGCCAGCAGCCGCGGUAAGACGUAGGGUGCAAGCGUUGUCCGGAAUUAUUGGGCGUAAAGAGCUCGUAGGCGGCUUGUCGCGUCGACCGUGAAAACUUGGGGCUCAACCCCAAGCCUGCGGUCGAUACGGGCAGGCUAGAGUUCGGUAGGGGAGACUGGAAUUCCUGGUGUAGCGGUGAAAUGCGCAGAUAUCAGGAGGAACACCGGUGGCGAAGGCGGGUCUCUGGGCCGAUACUGACGCUGAGGAGCGAAAGCGUGGGGAGCGAA